This 465-nucleotide ribosomal RNA is filed under the name uncultured bacterium. RNAcentral describes it as "bacterial SSU rRNA". It matches the Rfam family "Bacterial small subunit ribosomal RNA", at positions 339 to 796 of the family's 1533-position model. The record is from RNAcentral.
CUACGGGAGGCAGCAGUGGGGAAUUUUGGACAAUGGGCGCAAGCCUGAUCCAGCAAUGCCGCGUGCAGGAUGAAGGCCUUCGGGUUGUAAACUGCUUUUGUACGGAGCGAAAAGGCUCUCUCUAAUACAGGGAGUUCAUGACGGUACCGUAAGAAUAAGCACCGGCUAACUACGUGCCAGCAGCCGCGGUAAUACGUAGGGUGCAAGCGUUAAUCGGAAUUACUGGGCGUAAAGCGUGCGCAGGCGGUUAUGUAAGACAGAGGUGAAAUCCCCGGGCUCAACCUGGGAACUGCCUUUGUGACUGAAUAGCUAGAGUACGGCAGAGGGGGAUGGAAUUCCGCGUGUAGCAGUGAAAUGCGUAGAUAUGCGGAGGAACACCGAUGGCGAAGGCAAUCCCCUGGGCCUGUACUGACGCUCAUGCACGAAAGCGUGGGGAGCAAACAGGAUUAGAAACCCCAGUAGUCC